Molecule: long non-coding RNA, 4178 nt
Organism: Passer domesticus (house sparrow)
Lineage: Eukaryota; Metazoa; Chordata; Aves; Passeriformes; Passeridae
Exons: 2
Source: RefSeq, a predicted model, not a curated record
GCGGCAGCGCCGCGCCCACAGACUCGGUCCCCGUGCCCGUCCCGCCGGGGCCGAGCAGGUGCGCGCCCAGCGGGGCUGUCCCGCGCGGCCCUUGUGCAGCUGCAGCGCCAGCGCUCGGUAACCGGCACAGCCACCCGGGCAACGCCUACUGCGUUGUGAGGGCCGUGCCGUGGGCCGGGGUCUGCGGGGCCGCUGCCCUGCCCGGCCGUGCCCGGCUGGCAGCGCGGGCAGCGGGAGCGGUUCGUGAGGGGAAUGAGGCGGGAUUUUGCGAGAGGGGGAAGCUGUCGGAGAUGGGGUCUCUGCGCGCCAGCUUCGUUUUCCGCGCCAUCAACGUUGUGAGGGCCGCCCUCCUGUGCUUUUGGGAGGGUGCAAGUCUCUGUAGUUUUUGAUGGAAGCUAGUUCACUACUGCACUGCACCUGGUCUUCCUAACGUGAGAUUAUCAGGUAAAAUCUGUAUUUCUGUGCACUGCAGCAGAUGCAUUUUGGAGCCAUAAUGUGUCACUACCAGUGUUGAACAUAGCUGCCACUAGAACGUGCAGGACAUGGGAAACUGGUUUUAUUACAUAACUGUAGAUUUGUGUGCAGCUGGGUCCUAACUGGGCAAAACAGCUGCUGUAGGAUAUAAAAGGAUUAAACUGUCUGGGUUACAUGCCUAACAUUUUGCUAAAUAUUUUAUGUAGCAUCAUCUGGCACACGUUAAUUAUGUUGUAUUAUUACUGUUUUAGAAAACAGUAGUUAUAAAUAAGUAGAUGUUUUUUCCUGCUGCUUUGAACUUGGAGCAGAAUGUUAAUGGUAUCAGCAGCAUGUUAAGUUUACUAUUUACCAUUAAGCAAAAGCCUAAACAAUUAGAAGUAAUGCUGUCUUUCAAAGGACCCUUGUCAGCAGGAGGUGACACCUGAAGGUCCCUGCUGAAGUACAUUCUGAGAAUCUGCAAUAAAUUGGCUGAUGGCAGCUUUUACUGUGCACUGAAGAGUAGUUUAACUGGAAAGCUAAAUGCCAAAUUAAACCUGGAUAAAAAUAGCCAGCUGCUCAGUUCUAUUUGUAAAAUGAGAAAUGUUCUAAAACCUUUGUGAAGCUGAAUUUUCUCCAGAUUAAAGCCAGUGAAGGGUACUCUUAAAUCCAGUAACUUCAGUGGGUUUUCAUAUUGUAGUAGAAAUGACUGCAAUUAAAACUUGAAAAUUAGGAUCAUUUUUACUGCAGAAAAACGUAGCAGAAAGCACUCUUUAAAGAAAAUUAAAGACAUUUAAGUAAGUAUUAGGACCUCCACCAGUCUAAAACAAAACAAUUUCUCUCAUGUAUGAAGUAUUUGAGUGCACCACCUUCUUGGACUUACAUGUCUUGUAUACUGAGCUGUGUUAUCCAUGUAUCACAGUCCUGAGGCCUCUCAAACCACUGAAGACCUUUCAAUCAUUAUUAUAUUAUAUUCAUUUUCACAACACAUUGGAGAAGUAUUUCUUCCUAAUUUUAAGGUUAUGAAGAGAAAGAAUAAAUAAUUACCUUGGAAAUACAUAAGAAACCAGAAGUAGCUGUCAAAUUUAACAUCAGGAGUUUUUUGUUGUCUCUUAAUUUGGAUGCCUUUGUAGCUGACAAGUAAAGUAUUUGGAUGAAGAGGGAAGCAUACCUGAAGGAGAUCAUAUAAGAAGCAGUCUUGGAAGUUAAUUUGACUUUAUUUGAACAGAAUACAGUCACCUAGAAAACAAGCUAACUAUUCUUAAACACUGACAGAUGCAAGAGACAGCACAGGUAAUUAUUGGAGAAGCAGUAGUUUCAUUAUCUCUUAAACUACUUAGAAUAACAAACCACAUUACAAUUUCUUAGGACAAUCUAUUUGUGAAUAUUUGCAUAUUUGCCCUAACAAGUUCUAUCAUGCACUCUAGUGAGAUAUAAGCUAACCAGUUUUUUAAGUUUAUAAACAUCAUAUUAUGCAAACAAUUUUAAGUAAAUACUUUAACCUAAUUUGAAAAAUCUGUCACCUUCCACAGCACCACAUGAAGAUCUUGUUUUAAAAUAACAUUAAAUCCACAGCAAUAGCUAAAUAUUUUAAAUACUUAUGUAUUACACUGUAAACUCUACAUAAACACUACGUACACCCAAAAAAACAUACAAAGAACAGGAAGAUCAUUUUGAUUAGCAAAGAUACCUCAAAUGUAUCGCCAGAAUCAUUUUUCUGUUCUUACGACUUAUCCCCAAACCACUCCCAGAAAAGGCACAGUUGGUGGUGAUUUUUUUUUUCUUUUUUUAACACACAAAGCCAGAAUCAAUACAGUAGGCCAAUGCAGUCAAACACUGCUCUUAUUUCUAGGAAGAACAGGAAAGAAACUUGCAUUAGUGUCCAGAUGGCUCAGGAAGAUUCUAAUAAUGAAAGAUCUCCAGCAUCUGCUUACUGCCCUAGGCUCAAAUGCAGAAAUGAAUCCCAAAUUAAAUUUCGGUUAGGAGAACUUGGCUGUACAUCUUGGACAUGACUGCCAGCUAGAGUUACUUGCUUAUUCCAGUACUGGGGCUCAGCUCACAAUCAGCUAUUGAUGGCACGCAGGAGAGAUGAUGGUUUUUCAAAUUAAAUUGGUAAUUACUGUUCAAAGAUUAUACUCAUGAAGUAUUAGACAAUACUUCUUCCACUUGGUACAAACAAAACCUUUAAAUAAUAGAUCUUUUAAAACUUAUUACAAGGCUUCAAUAUAUUUAUUAAAGUCAUUCCAACUUUUUAUAAUUACAGUAUCUAAAAAGUUCUCCUUUACCAGCAAAUGAUGCCAUGUUUGGCAAGAAAAUGGUAUUGGUAAUUUUUUAAACCAAAAUAUGCAUAUAUGAGUUAUCCCCAUUUUUUUAGAAAAAAAUGCUUCUAAGAAAAAUAUUUUACUAAGUCUAUAUUCUAAGAUAUAAUACUUAUACUAUUACACUAAACAAACUGCCUUUUAUGAACUAUAUACAUUGAUGAACAGUCUCAGAUGCACUAAGUUUCCCAGAAGACAGAAAGCAUUGCUGGAAUCUAUCAAGUAUUGUUGCAAGGAAUCUUUGAGAAGUGAGAAAAAACUCCAUUUUGGCAUUGCUGCUUUUAGAGCAUAUUCCAAGUACUUGUGUAACCAUCAUCAGCGAUCCAGAAAUCUGCAAAAGAUGCUGAGAUGUUGCAUUCAUGGUAUCAAAAAAUAGAAAGAUUCAGCACUGAAUUUUUACAUGAAACGGAGCCUGAGGUAUUUAUACAAUCCUUUGUAAUGGAGAUGAAAUAUUACCCAUUGCAUGUUGUCUGCAACUAUUCAGGACUUGUUAUAUGAAAUACCAUUCCUAUGUUGUUAUUUGGAAGACCUACUGUUGCACAAGGCCUAAAUAAGAACUUUUAUUAGCUAUAAAAUUGGCAUAUUAACAAAGUGCUAUCUAAGGUCAGUGCUAAAGACUGAAGCAGUUGGGCUGCACCAAGGCUUAAGAGAAUGACCAAGCAGGUCCUGCAGAGAACCCCCAGCCUCCCCCUUCUCUGUACAGAGGCUGCCAGAGUAAGUGCAGGAGAACUACACAAGACAUCUUGAGGCAGAUUCCUUCCCUCUGCUCUCCACAGUGACUCUUACAGCAGUGAGCUCAAAAAUGGGUUCAGUUGGAAGGAAGGGUCAUUUCUGGCCAUGUUGACAAAGUACAUUUUAGUGAAAAAUGUCUGAGAUGGAUUAAACCAACAAAACAGUGUAUGGAUUCACUCCGUUUCUUUAAAUGGUCAUAUUAAAUCCUGUAUCCAUCAAAUAUCCUUUGGGGUAAGAAAACCAAACCAACCUACAAGAGCAAUACAAUCCAGGGUGGGCACAAAUGAACUCGAUCACUGCUGUUAUGGUUUGAAAUUUAGCAAGGCCUCACUUUUAACCACUCAGGUUUUUCACUUGGCUUUUGCUAUCUGAAUGGGUGCACAGUAAUUUUCAGUAACUUUUUUUUUUGUUCAUUCCAGAUCACUUUUUUUUUUCAGAAGUAGAUGAGUUUUUUCCUAAUCUGAUAAUCAUACUUUUUUUUGCAUUCAGUAUAGGGGAAAGCUGGACAAAAAUGACUGAUUCCUAAUUAAUGCACAAUUAAUUGGUGGUUAACUGGUUAGUUUUUUUGACUGGUGUAUCAGAGAAGGGAAUCAAAUUCACUGGGGAAGUAUCUGCAACACUCAACUAAACAUAAAACAUCUUAAUUUCCUUUCAGGAUAAAAUGUGAAGUAAUCAACA